This is a long non-coding RNA of Herpailurus yagouaroundi (jaguarundi), 2121 nucleotides long. RefSeq lists it as uncharacterized. NCBI's taxonomy places the organism in Eukaryota, Metazoa, Chordata, Mammalia, Carnivora, Felidae. The transcript has 4 exons. The record is from RefSeq and is a predicted model, not a curated record.
GCCAUGUGAGGUGUGGAGGAAGUGCAUCAGCCAGGACAGGAGGUUUUAAUUGCCAUUACUUGAACCACGCAUGUGUAGUCCCUGUCAGAAUGUUCCAGAAACACUUGAGCCGGGGGUCAGUUUUGGUUGCCGGACAGUGGUUCUCACCACGGUGAGGACAGUGACAAGGGACCACCACCAGGGAGGGAGCAUCAAAGUCAGAAGGGUGCAGGUCCUCAGUCCAGUCUGAAGACUUUCUGAGGCUGCUUUCUCUUUGGCUGGUCUGGAGACCCGGCUCCACACAGACACCUCACCCCAACUGCAGACACAGUGAGAAUCACCCCAGCCCACAAAAACAGGCAGUUUGAAAAGCGCACACGUGACUGUGAUCUAGCCAAGAGAAUUAAACUGGAAAAAACCUGUUCAUGUAGAAGGAGCAUGUAAAAUAUUGUUCAUCCCUCACUCUGAUCUGGAGCUACAGAGCUAGGGAGGAUUUUCAAGGUAAUUUGGAGCUGAGGACAGAAAAAGAAAAGACACUCUAUCAGUCACUUGGAUCUCCGGAUAGUCAUUUUUUAUCCCAUGCAUUGUUGAAUCUGCUUGUCCCUCUUGAAGCCUUUGGAUGAUUCCUGCAGACUCGGGUCCCUAUUCUGGUCUGCAAGUGGUGACUUUGUGUCUGCAUACGGCAUUUUGCCCUCUUGCCUGGGAUCCUGCCGCCUCCAGCAGAGAGAACUUCGGACCCUGUCUGCGAAGAGCAGGCCCCUCCGUGUGUGAGGUCUGUGCCAGUCACGUACACAGCACGCCCCACUCAGGUUAUUUUCACUUUGGGGCAAAUCUUGCCUCUAUGAGACCCCAGAAACACUUCUUCCUGGGCCCCCUCCCUUCUUUCUCUGACCCUUCCUUCUCUAGGGCACAGUCAAGCGGACAAGCCCAGUUUGCAUCUGUGAGAGGGGUUGCAAAUGUCGACCAACUUUGCUAGCACGAUUUCAGCGUGUUCCUUUAGUAAAAGGCCUGGUCUCCAUUAGGGGUGAGGGUGUCGAGGGUGAACCUUAUGGAAAAUGCAGAAAACAGCACCUUGUUCCCCCCCCCCCCCACGUGGCGGCAGGGAAGCCACAGAGAGUGGACAGGUGAAGUCUGUCUCCUGUGCCCCAUGGCUUCCUAGGUUUCAGCAUCCCCCAGUGCAAACACAAGGACCCACGUGUGCACACAAGGACCCUGCAGCCGGAAAGUUGACCACAGCGUGGGCCGGUGUUUCCCAAAAAGCAUGCAGCAGCACCCCUGGAGGGUUUGUUAAAGCCCAGGUGGCUGGGCCCCACCCCGUUUCGGAUUCCAUGCGUCUGGGACGUGGCUCAGGCACCUGCAUUGCCAGCACACCACCCAGGGAUGCUGGUGCUGUGGAUCCAGGGACCUCACCUGGAGAACCACUGAGACAACCAGUGAUGCCAAAAGUCAGGUGAGCUAAGUGCUGGGAUGUUUGACCUAUACAUUUGCACCUGCUCGCCACAGCUUCUCUCCCACUUGCCGGAUCGUCUACCUGGAUUCUCCUCUGUCAUGUACUCAGGGGUCUAAGGUUUACCCUACUUGCAAGCUAACCUGUUAGUCUAUCACAGAUUCGCAGGUGCUGGCAGAGGACGUGAGAUGCCUGGGUCAGAGACAAAGGACAGAUCAGAGCUUACAGCCAGCCAGAGCAGCAGCCCGAGUACCAGAGUUUACACCGGUUCCCCCAGCACCAACUCCCACAGGAGGGCCAGGUGACACACUGGCCCUGCGGUGGGCUGUGGUACAGGAAAGGCACCCCGUGCUUAGGGGGAACCUGAAUCUUUUGUAAUGGACAGUAAAGCUUACCUGACUUUUGCCCUGGAGGGAGACAUUUCUUUAUUCUACUGCCGGUAAAGCACCUUUGCUCCAGGGGUAGACACCGCCCCGAUAUUUCAAGGCUGUUUGCUACACAAAUGUUCUGAAAAAUAUAGUCUGGAAUGAAGGCUUCGUGCACCUCUUCUCUCGGGAUGUGCAGAAACCCGAAAGACCCGUGGAGGAUCGUCUCCAAACACGCUUGUCCUCCUUCUCGUUGGAAAUUGCCAGAAUGUAAGUGUAGUAGUCUCUCGGGGUUCCCAUAACAAAAUAUCAUGAGCUUGGUGGCUUAAA